UUUCAAAGGUGUGUGGUUUUCAAAUAAGC
Molecule: non-coding RNA, 29 nt
Filed under: Mus musculus (house mouse)
Lineage: Eukaryota; Metazoa; Chordata; Mammalia; Rodentia; Muridae
Also listed under: 1 other name
Source: RNAcentral